This 62-nucleotide transfer RNA is filed under the name Alectorobius rietcorreai. RNAcentral describes it as "tRNA-Met". Lineage: Eukaryota; Metazoa; Arthropoda; Arachnida; Ixodida; Argasidae. The record is from RNAcentral.
AUAAAGUAAGCUAAAUCUAAGCUAGUGGGUUCAUACCCCAAAUAUGAGCGACUCCUUUAUUA